UACGUAGGGUGCGAGCGUUGUCCGGAAUUAUUGGGCGUAAAGGGCUCGUAGGCGGUUUGUCGCGUCGGGAGUGAAAACACUGGGCUUAACUCAGUGCUUGCUUCCGAUACGGGCAGACUAGAGGUAUUCAGGGGAGAACGGAAUUCCUGGUGUAGCGGUGAAAUGCGCAGAUAUCAGGAGGAACACCGGUGGCGAAAGCGGGUCUCUGGGCAACAACUGACGCUGAGGAGCGAAAGCGUGGGGAGCGAACAGG
This 253-nucleotide ribosomal RNA is filed under the name uncultured bacterium. RNAcentral describes it as "partial 16S ribosomal RNA". It matches the Rfam family "Bacterial small subunit ribosomal RNA", at positions 524 to 776 of the family's 1533-position model. The record is from RNAcentral.